This 196-nucleotide unclassified non-coding RNA is filed under the name plant metagenome. Its description in RNAcentral is "partial contains small subunit ribosomal RNA and internal transcribed spacer 1". The stretch from base 1 to 46 matches the Rfam family "Eukaryotic small subunit ribosomal RNA", at positions 1786 to 1831 of the family's 1831-position model. The record is from RNAcentral.
AAGUCGUAACAAGGUCUCCGUAGGUGAACCUGCGGAGGGAUCAUUACCAGAGAUGGCGGGGCCUCCGGGCCCCCGUCCCCAACCCAUUUGUUGGACCAAAACCUUCUUGCCUCGGGGGGCAGACGUCCGCCGCCGCCCCCGGAGGACCACCGAACGCUGUCUCUUUACGUCGGAGUAUUGAUUGAAUAAAUGAAAA